Molecule: unclassified non-coding RNA, 635 nt
Filed under: Hevea brasiliensis (rubber tree)
Lineage: Eukaryota; Viridiplantae; Streptophyta; Magnoliopsida; Malpighiales; Euphorbiaceae
Source: RNAcentral
GGUAGUUCGAAAUAUACCAUCAUUGUACUUAUUAAGAACUAGUCCAAAAAAAUGUCGAAAAUAAUGACCUAUCCUACCUCUGCUACAUGUGUCUUCCUCAGUUCUGAUGAUUUGCAAAUGAUCUGAAAAGCUCUAAUCAGGUGCUUGCACUUGCUGGUGAUAUGAAGAUUAUCACCGGUUAAUAUCGACUCUUCAUCAGUAGCCAAUCGAUGAUCAGCUUUUGGCAUUUAAUUUCUCUAAAAGGAUUUUGUUCAAAAGUUUUGGAUUUGCUUUGCCUUUUGAUUCCUUCAUCACCUGGCCAGCAAAAUAACCUUGCAAUUUAGUUUUACCACCGCGGUAUUGUUCCAGCUGCUUUGGACUAUCUGCAAUCACCUUAUCUACCAUUUUCUCAAUCUCCGCAGUGUCAACAAUCUGAACCAGAUCCUUUUCUUUUAUCAGCCCCUUGACUGUUCCACCCUUGGCGAUUAGCUCAAAUAAAAUCUCCUUCCCAAUCUUUCCGCUGAUAGUCUCAUCUUUAAUGGAAGCUAUGAGCUCCCCCAGUUCUUGAGGGGUAAGUUUAAUCUCAUUGAUAGUCACUUUUUCAUUUUUCAUGUACGCAGCAAUAUCUCCCAUAAUCCAAUUGGCAGCAAGCUUUA